This 253-nucleotide ribosomal RNA is filed under the name uncultured bacterium. RNAcentral describes it as "partial 16S ribosomal RNA". It matches the Rfam family "Bacterial small subunit ribosomal RNA", at positions 524 to 776 of the family's 1533-position model. The record is from RNAcentral.
UACGGAGGAUCCAAGCGUUAUCCGGAAUCAUUGGGUUUAAAGGGUCCGUAGGCGGUCUUAUAAGUCAGUGGUGAAAUCUCCCCGCUCAACGGGGAAACGGCCAUUGAUACUGUAGGACUUGAAUUAUUAGGAAGUAACUAGAAUAUGUAGUGUAGCGGUGAAAUGCUUAGAGAUUACAUGGAAUACCAAUUGCGAAGGCAGGUUACUACUAAUAUAUUGACGCUGAUGGACGAAAGCGUGGGUAGCGAACAGG